CUCCCCUCCCCUCAGCUGCUGCAAACACAAGGGCAGAGAUACACAACAGUUGCACCACUGCUUUGUCUUGACUGCUACUAGUUCAUCUACUCUCCCUCUCAAAGGUACACCAGCAGCAGGGGAGCGAGCCUGCGAGGUGACGGUGACUGAAGCCACGACCGUUGAACAGAGUGGCGUAGCUGAGCAAAGCGUGCAGGAGGAAUCUGAGCAGGUGGCAGUUGCAAUUCAACCUCCUGAAGGUGAUGGUCUCUGAGAAAAGUAGGAGAGGCGCUGGAUGGAUGAAUAGAGUCUGCCGAGAUUGGACCUCAACUGUAUUUUAGGAGGCAGAGGGAACUGCAGAUUUUAGUCAAUGUUAAAGCAUGUCACUUCCACGAAGUAUUCAACUGCCUUGCUGUUUCAUUCACAAAGCAAUAACAUCCCAAAUGCAUCAACUACAAACAAGCUGGCAUUUAUGAUUUUCUAUUUUAUAUGCAGAAGCCAUUCAUUAGAGUUGCAACAGGGUUUUGAUCUUUCUUGAUGUGAAAAUCUAAAGUUUGUAUGAAGGAAAAAUUCUUCUUAACAUACAGCCAAACUGUCUUUCUGUACAAAAUAAUGCUAUUCAGAAAACCUAUAUUUAGCCAGCUUUUAAAAAACAAAACAAAAAAGGAAUAAGAAUAAAACAGGAUUUCUGAAAAUUAAAAUGACAGUUGAGAAUGAUGAAAUACAUGUUUGUACAUUUAUUUAGAUGGUACAUAAUCCCUGUAAUAGAAUAUAUACUGCA
Eublepharis macularius is the source of this 760-nucleotide long non-coding RNA. RefSeq lists it as uncharacterized. The transcript has 4 exons. Lineage: Eukaryota; Metazoa; Chordata; Lepidosauria; Squamata; Eublepharidae. The record is from RefSeq and is a predicted model, not a curated record.